Hylaeus volcanicus is the source of this 716-nucleotide long non-coding RNA. RefSeq lists it as uncharacterized. Lineage: Eukaryota; Metazoa; Arthropoda; Insecta; Hymenoptera; Colletidae. The record is from RefSeq and is a predicted model, not a curated record. The transcript is spliced from 3 exons.
GUCUAAUUGUUCCUUUGCUACUACUAUAUACCAGAACGUUACAUUCUGCUGGAUGAAACUCUGCAGCAGUUAUAACUUCUGUUAAUUCCUCCAUAUUAGUUGGCUUAAUAUCUACUAUAUCUGUAUACAAUGGUGCCAAAGAUUAAUUCUAAGGUCAUCAGCACUGAGGUAUGUUUCCUGGUCACUGUUGACGCUUAUACUGUUUAUAUGAUAAGUGUGCGCAUUGGCAAAUAUUCUUCUCGGCGACGCUUCCACCAUCAACUCCAUUGGUUUUAUAGAUGGUACCUGAGCAAUUAAAUGGCCAGUGAUUUCAGGUAAUCGAAUUCAGGUUCAUGACUCUGGAAGGUGCUAUAUACAUUGUAUUCACCCCUCCGUGGUAUACUGUUUUUACUCUACACAAAUGAUAACAUUUUCUUAUUAUUGCACGAUAUCUGAUUCAAAAUAGAAAAACCUAUUCAAAAUGAUUGUUCUUUACAUUGUGUUCGAUGAUUAUCUUUAGAAAGUUUCUAAAGAUAGAGAAAUGUAGCAUGCUGUACACAUAAGGUUGGCAAUAAUCCAAUAGUAAGGUAUAUAAUCAUUUUUAUUUAAAGGACACAUUUCUCUUGUUUAAAAGUGCAAAGACUAUCAUGCUAAUGUCUAAAAUUCUAUGUCUGUGUGCAUGUGCUGAUAAUUAAUUUUUAUUGAUUUAAUUUAUCAAUAAAAAUAUUAGUUAUCUC